CGAAUCCUUAUCGUGAGACUGCGGACGGCUCAUAUAUCAUGAUUAUCUGUUUGAUUGUCUUCCCCAUUGGAUAACCGUGGGAAAUCUAGAGCUAAUACAUGCAGUUAAUUGGCAGUAUCGCAAGGUAUUGUCAAAGCAUUUAUUAGACUUAACCAUCUACUGUGUGGCAACACACGGUAAGGCGAAUCUAGAUAACUUUGCUGAUCGUAUGGCCUAGUGCCGACGACGUUUCAAUUGAGUUUCUGCCCUAUCAAUUUGUUGGUAAGGUAUUGGCUUACCAAGGUUGCAACGGGUAACGGGGAAUCAGGGUUCGAUUCCGGAGAGGGAGCCUGAGAAACGGCUACCACAUCCAAGGAAGGCAGCAGGCGCGCAAAUUACCCAAUCUAGACAGUAGGAGGUGGUGAAGAGAAGUACUGAGUGGUGGCCUUUUGGUUACCAACUUGGAAUGAACGUAAUUUAAGCAAUUCGUUGAGUAACUACUGGAGGGCAAGUCCUGGUGCCAGCAGCCGCGGUAAUUCCAGCUCCAGUGGCGUGAUUUAAAGUUGCUGCGUUUAAAACGCUCGUAGUUGGAUCACGCAGUAGUAUUCAGUUAUCUGGAUUUGGGCGAUGCUGACAUUUUUCUCAACAGAUUAAUGAAUCUUUGCUAAUCCAGAUAAACCCGCUGAAUGCUACUAUUUGCACACAAGUAUGGUAUUUGGCCUUUAGUGAGUUGAGUAUCAUGCCUUGUGGAGUGUGCCUUGAAUAAAACAGAGUGCUCAAAGCAGCGUACGCUUGAAUGUUAUAGCAUGGAACGAACAAACGUGUAUUUGCACAUGGUAUUUCACUUUGAGGGCAACUUUGGAGUGGGAUCCAUGUGCAGCACCCACCAAAAUACGGAUGUUGGUUUUCGUAUAUGUGAUGAUUACAGAGCGUUGGGGGCAUUGGUAUUUGCCGCGAGAGUGAAAUUCUGGACGGCAGACUACAGAUGCGAAGCGUUUGUCUAGACCGUUCAUAUCAGACG
This 1000-nucleotide ribosomal RNA is filed under the name Myxobolus catlae. RNAcentral's name for it is "bacterial SSU rRNA". It matches the Rfam family "Eukaryotic small subunit ribosomal RNA", at positions 70 to 979 of the family's 1831-position model. Lineage: Eukaryota; Metazoa; Cnidaria; Myxozoa; Bivalvulida; Myxobolidae. The record is from RNAcentral.